RNAcentral lists this ribosomal RNA (698 nucleotides) under Faecalibacterium prausnitzii. Its description in RNAcentral is "bacterial SSU rRNA". It matches the Rfam family "Bacterial small subunit ribosomal RNA", at positions 438 to 1162 of the family's 1533-position model. Lineage: Bacteria; Bacillati; Bacillota; Clostridia; Eubacteriales; Oscillospiraceae. The record is from RNAcentral.
GUUGAGGAAGAUAAUGACGGUACUCAACAAGGAAGUGACGGCUAACUACGUGCCAGCAGCCGCGGUAAAACGUAGGUCACAAGCGUUGUCCGGAAUUACUGGGUGUAAAGGGAGCGCAGGCGGGAGAACAAGUUGGAAGUGAAAUCCAUGGGCUCAACCCAUGAACUGCUUUCAAAACUGUUUUUCUUGAGUAGUGCAGAGGUAGGCGGAAUUCCCGGUGUAGCGGUGGAAUGCGUAGAUAUCGGGAGGAACACCAGUGGCGAAGGCGGCCUACUGGGCACCAACUGACGCUGAGGCUCGAAAGUGUGGGUAGCAAACAGGAUUAGAUACCCUGGUAGUCCACACCGUAAACGAUGAUUACUAGGUGUUGGAGGAUUGACCCCUUCAGUGCCGCAGUUAACACAAUAAGUAAUCCACCUGGGGAGUACGACCGCAAGGUUGAAACUCAAAGGAAUUGACGGGGGCCCGCACAAGCAGUGGAGUAUGUGGUUUAAUUCGACGCAACGCGAAGAACCUUACCAAGUCUUGACAUCCCUUGACGAUGCUGGAAACAGUAUUUCUCUUCGGAGCAAGGAGACAGGUGGUGCAUGGUUGUCGUCAGCUCGUGUCGUGAGAUGUUGGGUUAAGUCCCGCAACGAGCGCAACCCUUAUGGUCAGUUACUACGCAAGAGGACUCUGGCCAGACUGCCGUUGACAAA